UCUUUCUUUGCUUUUUUAAGU
Molecule: non-coding RNA, 21 nt
Filed under: Caenorhabditis elegans
Lineage: Eukaryota; Metazoa; Nematoda; Chromadorea; Rhabditida; Rhabditidae
Source: RNAcentral